RNAcentral lists this long non-coding RNA (1155 nucleotides) under Olea europaea (common olive). RNAcentral describes it as "long non-coding RNA (OEUR_LNC004506)". Lineage: Eukaryota; Viridiplantae; Streptophyta; Magnoliopsida; Lamiales; Oleaceae. The record is from RNAcentral.
UAAACUAGUUGGCUAUGUGGCAUUAUAAUCUGUGCAUCAACAACUAGCAUUAAACCAGCCAACGCCAUAAAAAAUACCAAAACUAGAUUCCUAUGUACGUCAAGUAAAAACCAAUAGCAAAACCAUCACAAAAAGCAUUCCGAAGAACUACACAAACAGGUUCAUACAGCCAUCACAAAUAGAUUUACCCACAUGACGACUAGCGUCUAUUUCUUGAAGUUCGAUUUGCUUUGUCAAGGAAGUUCCACCAUCAGGGACAGAAAGGAGCUGGCCCAUCUUUGAGAACAAUAGUUCGACUUUGCUUCUCGACAUCGGGAAUGGGCAUGAAGUGAAAUUCAUGUUAUAUUUCCUGCUCUUUAUAGAAACUUAAAAUUCUGUGGUUGUCCUAUUUAGUUAUUAAGCCCCAAAAUCUCAAUGAAAAGUGAUUCUGAAUUUGCCAAAAUCAUCUUUGCACUCCAUUUUGCUGGUUUGUUAUUCAUUGAAAAUUGGUACUCUGUGUUAAUAACAGAAAAUUAGUUCAAUUCAUUUUGCACGGUUUGUUACAUCAUUUCCCUUCCUCAUUAUUUGUUUAUUAUUUUUUUUAUAGCUUGGAAUUACUUUGUUUAUAAUGUUGAGUUGUUAGACUUUUAACUUCCUUUUUAUAUAUAAAAUAGUUUGCUCAUGCUGACUACGAUCUCAAAAGCUGGAAGAGCCCCAAAAGAAAAUGAUAUCUACCGACAAGAGGUUAUUUAUUAAUCUUUAUUUUUCGAAACUUACUUUGUCAUUUAUAACUAUUGAAUUUAACUUUUUUUAUUGUUGUAAAAAUAAAAGUGCAAAUUCUAUGAGAAGGACAAUUGCAGGUAUGGUGCAAGGUGUUGGGUAAGUAUUUUAAAAAGAAAUUUAAUUAUAAUUUUCUUAAAUUGCUUAAAAUUAAUUAUACUUUUAUAUUAUACAACUUUCUAAUUUAGACACAGCAAACAAAUACCACAAUUCUGUCUCUUUUUUGCUACCACAGGGGAGUGCUAUAUGGAAGGAAACUGUACAUUCGAGCAUAGAUGUUGAAUCAGAAAGAGAUUAGUGUAUUGUUGUAUAGAGAAGAACAAAAUACAUAUGGAAGGAUUAAAUGUAAUACAAAAGUUGUAUGGAGUGUAGAAAGGUUAAUAAUGUAUAAAAGAG